RNAcentral lists this ribosomal RNA (494 nucleotides) under uncultured bacterium. Its description in RNAcentral is "partial 16S ribosomal RNA". It matches the Rfam family "Bacterial small subunit ribosomal RNA", at positions 28 to 507 of the family's 1533-position model. The record is from RNAcentral.
GACGAACGCUGGCGGCGUGCUUAACACAUGCAAGUCGAACGGUGAAGCGCCUUCCUUUUUGGUGGGUGUGGAUGAGUGGCGAACGGGUGAGUAACACGUGAGUAACCUGCCCCCUUCUUCUGGAUAACCGCAUGAAAGUGUGGCUAAUACGGGAUAUUCUGGGUCUGUCGCAUGAUGGGUCUGGGAAAGAUAUUGUUUCGGUGGGGGAUGGGCUCGCGGCCUAUCAGCUUGUUGGUGGGGUGAUGGCCUACCAAGGCGGUGACGGGUAGCCGGCCUGAGAGGGUGGACGGUCACACUGGGACUGAGACACGGCCCAGACUCCUACGGGAGGCAGCAGUGGGGAAUAUGGCACAAUGGGCGCAAGCCUGAUGCAGCGACGCCGCGUGAGGGAUGGAGGCCUUCGGGUUGUGAACCUCUUUCGCCAGUGAAGCAGGCCUGCCUCGUUUGUGGGUGGGUUGACGGUAGCUGGAUAAGAAGCGCCGGCUAACUACGUG